RNAcentral lists this ribosomal RNA (435 nucleotides) under uncultured Saccharofermentans sp. RNAcentral's name for it is "partial 16S ribosomal RNA". It matches the Rfam family "Bacterial small subunit ribosomal RNA", at positions 341 to 792 of the family's 1533-position model. The record is from RNAcentral. Lineage: Bacteria; Bacillati; Bacillota; Clostridia; Eubacteriales; Oscillospiraceae.
ACGGGAGGCAGCAGUGGGGAAUAUUGGGCAAUGGGCGCAAGCCUGACCCAGCAACGCCGCGUGAAGGAUGAAGGUCUUCGGAUUGUAAACUUCUUUGAUUGGGGAAGAAUAAAUGACCUACCUAAAGAACAAGCCACGGCUGACUACGUGCCAGCAGCCGCGGUAAUACGUAGGUGGCAAGCGUUAUCCGGAUUUACUGGGUGUAAAGGGCGUGUAGGCGGCUCUGCAAGUCAGAAGUGAAAUUCCCGAGCUCAACUCGGGCGCUGCUUCUGAAACUGCAGAACUUGAGUACUGGAGGGGAAUGCGGAAUUCCUAGUGUAGCGGUAAAAUGCGCAGAUAUUAGGAGGAACACCGGUGGCGAAGGCGGCUUUCUGGACAGUAACUGACGCUGAGGCGCGAAAGCGUGGGGAGCAAACAGGAUUAGAUACCCUGGUA